This 335-nucleotide unclassified non-coding RNA is filed under the name Chytridiomycota sp. RNAcentral's name for it is "partial contains small subunit ribosomal RNA, internal transcribed spacer 1, and 5.8S ribosomal RNA". The stretch from base 1 to 47 matches the Rfam family "Eukaryotic small subunit ribosomal RNA", at positions 1785 to 1831 of the family's 1831-position model. The record is from RNAcentral. Lineage: Eukaryota; Fungi; Chytridiomycota.
AAAGUCGUAACAAGGUAACCGUAGGUGAACCUGCGGUUGGAUCAUUAAAAAGAUCUAGCCUGAAUUCGGAAGUGAUCGUCUUCCAGAUGAUCAUGCCCGAUGCCGGGUUUUCUCACCUAAAAAGUGAGUCAACAUCAUGUGAACUGUUUUGUCUCUGGCGGUGGGAUGGCUAACAACCAUCUGUCAGCAUCUGAGGUUUUUCCUCAGUGUGCCGUGGACAAGCCGCCAACGGUGUAUGUUUUCAUACGAACUUUUGUUUAAUUCAAAUUUGUCUGACAUAUCUUUGUAUCUAAAAUAUACAAAAACAACUUUUGGCAACGGAUCUCUUGGCUCCC